AUUGAACGCUGGCGGCAUGCUUUACACAUGCAAGUCGAACGGUAACAGGCCGCAUGGUGCUGACGAGUGGCGCACGGGUGAGUAAUGCAUCUAAAAGUGCCCCGUCGUGUGGGGUAACUCCUCCACAGAGUAGCUCUUAUCCCAUACGCUCUCUGGCUGAAAGCGUGGGACCGUAUCGCCUCGCGCGCUUGGAGCGGACCAUGUCAGAUUAGGUAGUUGGUGGGGUAAAGGCUUACCAAGCCAACGAUCUGUAGCUGGUCUGAGAGGAUGACCAGCCACACUGGAACUGAGACACGGCCCAGACUCCUACGGGAGGCAGCAGUGGGGAAUUUUGGACAAUGGGCGCAAGCCUGAUCCAGCAAUGCCGCGUGCAGGAAGAAGGCCUUCGGAUUGUAAACCGCUUUUGGACGGAACGAAACGGCGUUGGUUAAUACCCGGCGGUAAUGACGGUACCGAAAGAAUAAGCACCGGCUAACUACGUG
This 482-nucleotide ribosomal RNA is filed under the name uncultured bacterium. Its description in RNAcentral is "partial 16S ribosomal RNA". It matches the Rfam family "Bacterial small subunit ribosomal RNA", at positions 30 to 507 of the family's 1533-position model. The record is from RNAcentral.